This 35-nucleotide small RNA is filed under the name Bombyx mori (domestic silkworm). RNAcentral's name for it is "ovarian small RNA-14758". The record is from RNAcentral. Lineage: Eukaryota; Metazoa; Arthropoda; Insecta; Lepidoptera; Bombycidae.
CUGAAAUACCGAUCAUAACCGCCCAGACAUUGAUU